RNAcentral lists this long non-coding RNA (213 nucleotides) under Brassica napus (rape). RNAcentral describes it as "long non-coding RNA (BNAP_LNC009786)". The record is from RNAcentral. Lineage: Eukaryota; Viridiplantae; Streptophyta; Magnoliopsida; Brassicales; Brassicaceae.
UGUCACAUAGAUUAUUAAUUAAAAAAUAUUAAAUUAUAUAAAAAAUAGCUAAAAGAAUAAAAAUGUUAAUUUUAAGGACGCUAAUGCCGCUAGCGAAACCCUAAACGCUAAAUCUUAAAUUCUAAACCUUAUACCCUAAAUUCUAAACACAAAUCCAAACCCCUAAUCCCAAACUCUAUACCCUAAACCCUAAUCAUAGAUCCUAAACCCAAA